RNAcentral lists this ribosomal RNA (457 nucleotides) under uncultured bacterium. RNAcentral describes it as "partial 16S ribosomal RNA". It matches the Rfam family "Bacterial small subunit ribosomal RNA", at positions 338 to 795 of the family's 1533-position model. The record is from RNAcentral.
CCUACGGGGGGCAGCAGUGGGGAAUAUUGCACAAUGGGGGAAACCCUGAUGCAGCGACGCCGCGUGAGUGAAGAAGUAUUUCGGUACGUAAAGCUCUAUCAGCAGGGAAGAAAAAAAGUCCUUUGGACUUUGAACGGUACCUGACCAAGAAGCCCCGGCUAACUCCGUGCCAGCAGCCGCGGUAAUAAGCAGGGGGCAAGCGUUAUCCAGAUUUACGGGGUGUACAGGGAACGUAGACGGAUGCGCAAGACGGAGGUGAAAUGCCGGGCCCAACCCUCGGAACUGUUUGGUAAACUGUGCAGCUGGAGUGCAGGAGAGGUAACUGGAAUUCCUAGUGUAGGGGUGAAAUGCGUAGAUAUUAGGAGGAACACCAGUGGCGAAGGCGGCUUACUGGACUGUAACUGACGUUGAGGCUCGAAAGCGUAGGGAGCAAACAGGAUUAGAUACCCCAGUAGUC